This 1067-nucleotide long non-coding RNA is filed under the name Nicotiana benthamiana. RNAcentral describes it as "long non-coding RNA (NBEN_LNC002986)". The record is from RNAcentral. Lineage: Eukaryota; Viridiplantae; Streptophyta; Magnoliopsida; Solanales; Solanaceae.
GCGACUGCUACAAUUACGCCAAGGAUUUAGACAAUCAAGCUCUUAUCACACUUGAGAGUUACUGUGAUGUCACCAAUCCAUGCAAGAGUGCUCAAGUAAUUACUUCUCUUUCUUCUUAAUUAAUUCUUUUCAUAUUUGAGUGAGUCCUCCAUCAUAUAUGCCUCUAUAUCAUUUUGCAAAUUUCCUUGCGUAUUGACUAAUGCAUGUGUGCUUUUGUUGGUUUCAGGUGAUGUAGAAUUCUGAUAAGGGGAUGGAAGUAAUCUUAAAAAAUGUUUAAUUUGUUCUAGCUCUAAAUAUGAUGUUGAACAUAGUUGUUUCUCUAUCAGCGAAAAUGUGUUUUUCUGUUUGGCACUUGAGCAAUGAUGUAAAAAUUGCACGGGGAACCCUAUUUGGGCCCUCCUUUUAACCUGUAGCUGCUUUGUCUUUUCUUUGCAUUCGUAUCCAUUUUUUCACAUAACUUCAGCCCACGGGGUUGAGGUGUUUCUUUUGUACUGGAAAACUUAAACUGGAAACGGCUGAGGUGUUUAUUUUAUAACUGGACAGCUUAAGCUGGAAACGGCCUAAGUGUUUAUUUUAUAACUGGACAACUUAAGCUGGAAACAGACUUAGUGUUUAUUUUAUAACUUGACAACUUAAUUUGGAAAUGGCCUAAGUGUUUAUUUUAUAAUUAGACAACUUAAGCUGGAAACGACUUAAGUAAACUUAAGCUCUAGAGAUUAAGUAAAACUUCAGCUGAAGUUUUCCAGUACAAAAGAAACACUUCAACCCCGUGGGCUGAAGUUAUAUGAAAAAGUGGGUACGGAUGCAAACAAAAAGACAAAGCGACUACAGGUUAAAAUGUGGCAUAAAAAACGGGUACGACUGCAAAUGCCCCGACAAUGAUGAGGUUAACAUAUGAUUAUUUUCGGCCCAAGCCCAACUUAAUUUAUUUCAAAACAGGAUUAUGAUUGGCCAAAUUCUUGUAAGGAAAAUUAUACAUUGUAGCCGCUCAAAAAAAUAAUAAUCGCAAAAUAUAUUUGUUGUUGUACAUAUUAAACAAUAUUGUGGCUUCAAGCAAUGUACUGUUU